RNAcentral lists this ribosomal RNA (622 nucleotides) under Rhodomonas sp. RCC5236. RNAcentral describes it as "SSU rRNA". It matches the Rfam family "Eukaryotic small subunit ribosomal RNA", at positions 639 to 1272 of the family's 1831-position model. Lineage: Eukaryota; Cryptophyceae; Pyrenomonadales; Pyrenomonadaceae. The record is from RNAcentral.
UUUCGGGCUCGGGCAGGCUGUCGGCCUCGGUCGGACGGCAGGCUCGGGCCUUUCUGCCUGGGGACUCCGUCACACUUAACUGUGGGGCGGUUGGACGCAGGCCGUUUACUUUGAAAAAAUUAGAGUGUUCAAAGCAGGCCUACGCUUGAAUACAUUAGCAUGGAAUAAUGGAAUAGGACUUUGGUGCUAUUUUGUUGGUUUAUGGGACCGAAGUAAUGAUUAACAGGGACAGUUGGGGCCGUUUAUAUUUCGUUGUCAGAGGUGAAAUUCUUGGAUUUACGAAAGAUAAACUUCUGCGAAAGCAUUCGGCAAGGAUGUUUUCAUUGAUCAAGAACGAAAGUUAGGGGAUCGAAGACGAUCAGAUACCGUCGUAGUCUUAACCAUAAACUAUGCCGACUAGGGAUCAGUGGAUGUCAAUUUGCGACUCCAUUGGCACCUUGUGAGAAAUCAAAGUUUUUGGGUUCCGGGGGGAGUAUGGUCGCAAGGCUGAAACUUAAAGGAAUUGACGGAAGGGCACCACCAGGAGUGGAGCCUGCGGCUUAAUUUGACUCAACACGGGGAAACUUACCAGGUCCAGACAUAGUAAGGAUUGACAGAUUGAAAGCUCUUUCUUGAUUCUAUG